UACGUAGGGUGCAAGCGUUGUCCGGAAUUACUGGGCGUAAAGAGCUCGUAGGUGGUUUGUCGCGUCGGCCGUGAAAACUCGGGGCUUAACCCCGAGCCUGCAGUGGAUACGGGCAGACUAGAGGUAGGUAGGGGAGAAUGGAAUUCCCGGUGUAGCGGUGAAAUGCGCAGAUAUCGGGAGGAACACCGGUGGCGAAGGCGGUUCUCUGGGCCUUACCUGACGCUGAGGAGCGAAAGCGUGGGGAGCGAACAGG
Molecule: ribosomal RNA, 253 nt
Filed under: uncultured bacterium
Lineage: Bacteria
Description: partial 16S ribosomal RNA
Rfam family: Bacterial small subunit ribosomal RNA
Source: RNAcentral